UGUAUAGAUAUCAUCAAGGCAAAUGCCCUUUGAAAAUAGGGAAAAAAUAUCUUUAUACCCAUGAAAAAAAGGUUGCAGCCCCUCCGAAUACUAGGAGUCCACAUUUCUCCCUCUGCUUUGUUCUUUCUGCUUUGCCGAGACACAAAAGCACACCUUGACCAAGUAUUAAAAUACCAGGAGCCACUUACACUUGUCUGAGAAAAAGACAACACGUUGCCUUCGUUCAGGCACGGACUAGUACUCUCCUAUUGAUCCUAUACAAUACCUUCUGAGAGAGAGUAGGCAUACAAGAGCUUUCAUACAUCGAAUGCAGACACCCGUUCUCUGGACUGCUUCUGCCAAGUUCACGAUAUCACCCUCUAGCUAGCUAGGCUUAACAAUAUCUCAUCGAAUAUUCUAGAUAUUCAUCUCCUGUUCAUCAUGCUUUGAGAUCACAAGUGGCAAGGGGAUUUACAUCUAUACCCUCCUUUCCAAGCUAUUUAGCAGGGCUCCAGAGACUAUAUGAGCUAGCCUUGAGGCAGGGAGGGGUAUUCCCAAUCUCUCAUCUCUCAAUCCUUGUACAUCCUCUUCUCUGGGCCGGGAGCUUGUUGUGUGAGUGCAUCAGCGAAUCUAGCCACCAUCCUCCAAUACUUGCCACGUCAAUCUAACCAUGCAAAGAGCCACGUCAUCCUAGAGGGUUAGGGACCAAGAAAAAGGAGGAGACAUGUUUGUCAGAACUAUGGAUGCCUUGUCAUGUGCUUGAAACAACGAUAAGCCGCUCACAAGUGUAAAUUACAGGGCAUUUUGCAAGAAAUAGGAUGCAAGUUUUUGCAUAUAUGGCACCGUGAAGGACGGCCAUUAAAAUAGCCCGAGCUAGUCCCUGUGAAAUAUGUAUUCUCCUUGCCAAGGCUACGAAAUAACAUCAAUAACAGCGAUUAUUAUGAUCAUAAUAACAACAGUAGUCAUGAUAACCAUGAUAACCAUCCUGAAGCCACUACUAGCAGCAGGGUCAUCGGACCGGUCUCGCAAUCCCGGCAUCUACCCACAUGCGUGGUAGACAUGACGCAUGCCGUGCAUGCUGCAAAUUAUUCACAGGCACUCCUACUAUUACUGCAUAUAAGGGACCCAACUUAACGGCCCAAUCCUGAGCAGACAUAUAUAUAG
This is a long non-coding RNA of Populus trichocarpa (black cottonwood), 1143 nucleotides long. RefSeq lists it as uncharacterized. NCBI's taxonomy places the organism in Eukaryota, Viridiplantae, Streptophyta, Magnoliopsida, Malpighiales, Salicaceae. The record is from RefSeq and is a predicted model, not a curated record. The transcript is spliced from 3 exons.